GACGAACGCUGGCGGCGUGCCUAACACAUGCAAGUCGAGCGAAUGAAGUUCCUUCGGGAAUGGAUUUAGCGGCGGACGGGUGAGUAACACGUGGGCAACCUGCCUCAUAGAGGGGAAUAGCCUUCCGAAAGGGAGGUUAAUACCGCAUAAGAUUGUAGUACCGCAUGAUACAGCAAUUGAAGGAGCAAUCCGCUAUGAGAUGGGCCCGCGGCGCAUUAGCUAGUUGGUGAGGUAACGGCUCACCAAGGCGACGAUGCGUAGCCGACCUGAGAGGGUGAUCGGCCACAUUGGGACUGAGACACGGCCCAGACUCCUACGGGAGGCAGCAGUGGGGAAUAUUGCACAAUGGGGGAAACCCUGAUGCAGCAACGCCGCGUGAGUGAUGACGGCCUUCGGGUUGUAAAGCUCUGUCUUCAGGGACGAUAAUGACGGUACCUGAGGAGGAAGCCACGGCUAACUACGUGCCAGCCGCCGCCGUAA
This 480-nucleotide ribosomal RNA is filed under the name uncultured bacterium. Its description in RNAcentral is "partial 16S ribosomal RNA". It matches the Rfam family "Bacterial small subunit ribosomal RNA", at positions 28 to 523 of the family's 1533-position model. The record is from RNAcentral.